Molecule: ribosomal RNA, 207 nt
Filed under: uncultured bacterium
Lineage: Bacteria
Description: partial 16S ribosomal RNA
Rfam family: Bacterial small subunit ribosomal RNA
Source: RNAcentral
CACGUAGGCGGGUAUUUAAGUCAGGGGUGAAAUCCCAGAGCUCAACUCUGGAACUGCCUUUGAUACUGGGUACCUAGAGUAUGGAAGAGGUGAGUGGAAUUCCGAGUGUAGAGGUGAAAUUCGUAGAUAUUCGGAGGAACACCAGUGGCGAAGGCGGCUCACUGGCCCAUUACUGACGCUGAGGUGCGAAAGCGUGGGGAGCAAACA